CGUAACCAAUAACUCCCCUAGUAGCGGCGAGCGAAGCGGGAAGCAUUCCAAUAAAUAAUGGAAAACCUUCCGUGUCCGAGUUGUAAUCUCUAGAAGUGUUUUCCGGCAAAACCGCAAACAAGUCUGUUGGAAUACAGCGGCAUAGUGGUGAAACCCGGGUAUAUGUUGCGGAAGCCCAGAUGUGAUACCCUUUCAGGGAGUCGAGUUGUUUGGGAAAGCAGUUCAAAUUGGGUGGUAAAUUCCAGAUAGUAAAUAUGGGCGAGAGAUCGAUAGGGAACAUGUACCGAGGGAAAGAUGAAAAGCACUUUGGAAAGAGAGUUAACAGUACGUGAAAUUGAAGAAGGGAAACGCCUGAAGUCAGAGAUGCUUAUCGGAUCGAAAUCGGGAUACAGAACGACAUCAGUUGUCCGGGGUGGAUAAUACCGAAUGUAGCACUCUCGGCUCCCACUACCAUUCCGUGGGAUCCAUCCGGGGGGAACGAGGAGGGCAGCGUUCGGGCGUGUAAGACUAGCACACGC
Molecule: ribosomal RNA, 518 nt
Filed under: Rhodotorula glutinis
Lineage: Eukaryota; Fungi; Basidiomycota; Microbotryomycetes; Sporidiobolales; Sporidiobolaceae
Description: eukaryotic LSU rRNA
Rfam family: Eukaryotic large subunit ribosomal RNA
Source: RNAcentral